RNAcentral lists this ribosomal RNA (497 nucleotides) under uncultured bacterium. RNAcentral describes it as "partial 16S ribosomal RNA". It matches the Rfam family "Bacterial small subunit ribosomal RNA", at positions 28 to 507 of the family's 1533-position model. The record is from RNAcentral.
GAUGAACGCUGGCGGCGUGCCUAAUACAUGCAAGUCGAGCGAACGGACGAGAAGCUUGCUUCUCUGAUGUUAGCGGCGGACGGGUGAGUAACACGUGGAUAACCGACCUAUAAGACUGGGAUAACUUCGGGAAACCGGAGCUAAUACCGGAUAAUAUUUUGAACCGCAUGGUUCAAAAGUGAAAGACGGUCUUGCUGUCACUUAUAGAUGUAUCCGCGCUGCAUUAGCUAGUUGGUAAGGUAACGGCUUACCAAGGCAACGAUGCAUAGCCGAUCUGAGAGGGUGAUCGGCCACACUGGAACUGAGACACGGUCCAGACUCCUACGGGAGGCAGCAGUAGGGAAUCUUCCGCAAUGGGCGAAAGCCUGACGGAGCAACGCCGCGUGAGUGAUGAAGGUCUUCGGAUCGUAAAACUCUGUUAGUAGGGAAGAACAUAUGUGUAAGUAACUGUGCACAUCUUGACGGUACCUACAGAGAAAGCCACGGCUAACUACGUG